Molecule: ribosomal RNA, 820 nt
Filed under: uncultured bacterium
Lineage: Bacteria
Description: bacterial SSU rRNA
Rfam family: Bacterial small subunit ribosomal RNA
Source: RNAcentral
AACGAACGCUGGCGGCGUGCUUAAUACAUGCAAGUCUAACGAGAAAGUCCGACUUCGGUUGGGCGAGUAAAGUGGCGAACGGGUGAGUAACACGUGGAAAAUCUACCCUUGUGUCUGGAAUAAUCCUUCGAAAGGGGGUCUAAUACCGGAUAACAUCCCGAAGCGGCAUCGCUUUGGGAUCAAAGGCGGGGCAACCUGCCGCAUGGGGAUGGUUCCGCGCUCCAUUAGCUUGUUGGUGAGGUAACGGCUCACCAAGGCUAUGAUGGAUAGCCGGCCUGAGAGGGUGAUCGGCCACACUGGGACUGAGAUACGGCCCAGACUCCUACGGGAGGCAGCAGUAGGGAAUAUUGCGCAAUGGACGAAAGUCUGACGCAGCAACGCCGCGUGGGUGAUGAAGCAUCUUGGUGUGUAAAACCCUGUCAGUGGGGAAGAAACGUAUGAGGAGUAACUGCCUCAUGCCUGACGGUACCCACAGAGGAAGUCCCGGCCAACUCCGUGCCAGCAGCCGCGGUAAUACGGGGGGGACGAGCGUUGUUCGGAUUUACUGGGCGUAAAGGGCGCGUAGGCGGACCUUCAAGUCGGGUGUGAAAUCUGUUGGCUUAACUGACAGCCUGCGUUCGAUACUGUUGGCCUUGAGUACAGGAGAGGAGAGCGGAAUUCCAGGUGUAGCGGUGAAAUGCGUAGAUAUCUGGAAGAACACCAGUUGCGAAGGCGGCUCUCUGGACUGAUACUGACGCUAAAGCGCGAAGGCUUGGGUAGCAAACAGGAUUAGAUACCCUGGUAGUCCAAGCGGUAAACGAUGGGUACUAGGUGUCGGGGG